This 2749-nucleotide long non-coding RNA is filed under the name Homo sapiens (human). RNAcentral's name for it is "HSALNT0323846". Lineage: Eukaryota; Metazoa; Chordata; Mammalia; Primates; Hominidae. The record is from RNAcentral.
GCCGCGGCGGCGGCGGCUCCGCUCGCCCCGGGAGGGAGCCCGCGGCCAGGGCUGGACUCUCGCCCCGCCACCUCCACCGACUCUCUCCUCAGCCUCCGCGCCUGGCACCGCAGCAAGACUUGAAUGAAGUGAUCAUGUAAACUAGAGAAAGGAGAUUAAAAAUAACCUCUGGAUAUUCCUCUCAUGUGAUCUUUAUUCUGGAUGAAGCAUUAGGACAGCUAAUAGCCGUGUGUCACUUAAAAAUCCAACUUGAGAACUGUCACCAAAGAUGUCUAGGAACUUUGAAGAAACAUGAAGUAAUAUGCAUGCAAAGUAAAGUAAAAUUUCCUGAGCAAAGGACAUCAGAAUCAGUUUCAUGAAGAUGAACCUGUGGCCAGAAAAUGAAGACCUUUCCUGAAUUCAGAGAACCAACUUUGCACCCACAAGAGAGAAAAAGGCAAAUAAAUAAUAUUAUAUUUUGGAAGAGUCUUACAAAAUGAUUCAUAAUUAAUUUGCAGUAUACUAUUCUAAAAUUCUUUUGUAAGAGAUUAAAGAAAUAUGUACACAUUAGAAAACUAUAAUUAGUACUCCUAAUGGAAAUCAAUUUUCAUUUACAAAAUAGCUUUAAAAAUUUACAAAUACAAUGUUAAUUCACUCCUGCUUGCCCAACAAGGGGAGUUCUUGAUGGAGUGAAAAAGAGCCUAAAUCUUGAGCACUUACUGGGUACAGGGCACUGUCAUGUGUGUUUCACGUGUAUUGCCGAAUGUGAUACUUACAAAAACCAUAUCAGGUGGGUGUGGUAAUUAUCAUGAUGCCCAUUUUGCAAAUGAAGAAGCUGAGCCACUGAAAUGUUCAACAAAUGUGCCUCCAGGAUACACAGGUUGAUUUUCCGUUUCAGGAUUUGGACUCAUAUACUGGCCCCAAUGUCUGCUAUGUUCUCUUUUGGUAAACAUGCAGGAAAUGGAAUGAAAUAUGUUGUCUUUAGUAUAACAGAAUCUUUAAUUUGUAGCUCUAUUUGAACUUUCUUAGCUGAAGUGUCCUCAACAAAGUCAUAUAUGUAGUCACUAAUCACUAUGAAAAUGACAAUAUAAGAAGUAAAAUUAUAUGUAUACCAUUCAAAGAGAUCUGAAAAUUGAAUUAACUGAGCAUUUUUGUAGCAUGAAUCUUUGAUUAGAAAAUAUUGGAGCCCAUUUGCAACAUUUUAGGUUGCUACAUAUAAUGUUUUAUAUGAAAUAAUAUAAUCAACUUAUUUAUAGAAGUGUAGAUGAUUUUAGUUCUUUUCCUAUCAUUAUUCAGACAGAGUUUGAUAGCUUAGCAGACUCGUGUUGUAUGUGUAUAUGUUAGGGAGGACAGGUUUGCAAUUGAAGCUGAUUGUUUGCCCAAACACCAUCUGGCCUACCCAUUUAUAAUAUGUCAAAUGAGACUGCCCAAGGUAUGAGAAAAAUCUUAAUUUCACAUUUAUUCAGGUCAUAUUGGCCACAGCUCAAACUGCACUAUUAUAUUGUUUGCAUUUUCAUCACCACCCGGUUUUUUUUUUAAUUUUUUUCUGAAUUCUCUUGAAUGCUUUACUGAUUUUCACUACCUUCCUUUUAAUUAUUUCAGAAACCUACUAUUAAAGAUUUUCACUCACUGUUGAUCAUAACGUUAAUCAUCUUGUUACAAUAUAGACUAUUAUAAGCUUUAGUAAAAUAACUUAAAUAUUUUAAAACCCAAAUAUCUUUGGAUGGACUUUGUGUAUAUUAAAUUCUUGUCUAUUAUAGCAAAGUUUCAAUAUGCAUAAACAUAUACAUAUAAGUAAAUAUUUUAUAAUGUAUCACUGGCUCUUGUAAAGAUAGUUAUUCAUGCUCAAUAUCAACAUUUUGAAAAAUGUAGCUAUUAAUAAAUAUUUAUGCACAAACUUAGAUUUUUAACUGAAAGUUAAUGGCUAGGAUUUUUAAGUAACUGUCCAAAUAAUUAAAUAGAAGGAAUAAAAUAAACAUUUCACUUUGCAUUAGACACUUCUGCUAGAACAUGUUUUAUAAGAAUUAAAUGUUGAGGAAUUUUAAAAACUACAUUAGAUUUUAAAUCACCUUAAUAGUCCUACACUGAUUUCUACUGUUUUAGUUGGAAGAAUGAUCAGAAAUAGUAUCCAGGGGAAAUGUAUUUUGUAAAAAUACUGUAGUUUAAUAAUAUGAUAAGAAGGCAACUUCUGAGUAUAUCCUCUGAUUAAUUCAAUGCCAAAAUAUAUGGGGAAGAUAGUUUUCAAUGUAAAUACUGAUUCCUGUUUAGAAAAUAAAAACAGCAUAUUAUUAAUUUAGAUUAACAUAAUUAAUAUAACACUUAUUUCCCAAAAUGUUAUAUUUCUUUGGGUAGCCCCUUAAUUAUUAGUCAAACAAGAAACCUCCAACAGAAGUAUUUCAGAAAAUAUCAUGGCAUUUAAAAAUAUGAAUGUUCAUAAUUUCCUUAAUAGUUUACAUUUUUAACCCCUUUAAAAUGCUAAUUUCAUGAUCUUUAUUGCUGAUUUAUGAAAAUAUCACUAUUCAUUAGUAAAAUAUGUAUUUUUAAAUUAAAAUUUGAAUCUGAAAGAGCAAGGAAGACUUAAUUGGAAGAUGCAUAGAAUUUGUGAGGUCUUUUCAGAAUAUCUUACUGUAUGUAUGUUACAGAACAUAAGCACUGAGUCAAAGCUCAGCGGAGGAAGUUCACGUUAAUAGUGUGCUCUAGGCCGGGCGCAGUGGCUCACACCUGUAAUCCCAGCACUUUGGGAGGCUGAGGCAGGAGGACAACCUGAGGU